Small nuclear RNA from Nomascus leucogenys (northern white-cheeked gibbon), 172 nucleotides. Its record names the gene U2. It matches the Rfam family "U2 spliceosomal RNA". Rfam says of the family: U2 is a small nuclear RNA (snRNA) component of the spliceosome (involved in pre-mRNA splicing). Complementary binding between U2 snRNA (in an area lying towards the 5' end but 3' to hairpin I) and the branchpoint sequence (BPS) of the intron results the bulging out of an unpaired adenosine, on the BPS, which initiates a nucleophilic attack at the intronic 5' splice site, thus starting the first of two transesterification reactions that mediate splicing. Lineage: Eukaryota; Metazoa; Chordata; Mammalia; Primates; Hylobatidae. The record is from Ensembl.
AUCGCUUCUCGGCCUUUUGGCUAAGAUCAUGUGUAGUAUCUGUCCUUAUCAGUUUAAUAAUCACCUCCUAGGAGCUGCUCCUAGAGGAAGGAGUUCAGUCUUUUGCUUGUGAUAUGAAUUGCAAUGUUUCUCCUGGUUUGCUAUUUGGGAAUUCAGUAGGGGAUAUAAAAUA